GUAGGUGGCAAGCGUUGUCCGGAAUUAUUGGGCGUAAAGCGCGCGCAGGCGGUUCUUUAAGUCUGAUGUGAAAGCCCACGGCUCAACCGUGGAGGGUCAUUGGAAACUGGAGAACUUGAGUACAGAAGAGGAAAGCGGAAUUCCACGUGUAGCGGUGAAAUGCGUAGAGAUGUGGAGGAACACCAGUGGCGAAGGCGGCUUUCUGGUCUGUAACUGACGCUGAGGCGCGAAGGCGUGGGGAGCAAACAGGAUUAGAUACCCUGGUAGUCCACGCCGUAAACGAUGAGUGCUAAGUGUUAGGGGGGUUUUCCGCCCCCCUUAGUGCUGCAGCUAACGCAUUAAGCACUCCGCCUGGGAGUACGGCCGCAAGGCUG
RNAcentral lists this ribosomal RNA (374 nucleotides) under uncultured organism. RNAcentral describes it as "partial 16S ribosomal RNA". It matches the Rfam family "Bacterial small subunit ribosomal RNA", at positions 527 to 896 of the family's 1533-position model. The record is from RNAcentral.